UACGGAGGGUGCAAGCGUUGUUCGGAAUUAUUGGGCGUAAAGCGCGUGUAGGCGGCUUUCUAAGUCUGGUGUGAAAUCCCGGAGCUUAACUCCGGAACUGCACUGGAUACUGGAAAGCUAGAGGGCGAGAGAGGAUGGUGGAAUUCCUGGUGUAGGGGUGAAAUCCGUAGAUAUCAGGAGGAACAUCAGUGGCGAAGGCGGCCAUCUGGCUCGCACCUGACGCUGAGACGCGAAAGCGUGGGGAGCAAACAGG
Molecule: ribosomal RNA, 253 nt
Filed under: uncultured bacterium
Lineage: Bacteria
Description: partial 16S ribosomal RNA
Rfam family: Bacterial small subunit ribosomal RNA
Source: RNAcentral